Molecule: ribosomal RNA, 744 nt
Filed under: uncultured archaeon
Lineage: Archaea
Description: bacterial SSU rRNA
Rfam family: Archaeal small subunit ribosomal RNA
Source: RNAcentral
GUGGCUAACCUACCCCCAGGACGGGGACAAACCCGGGAAACUGGGGCUAAUAUCCGAUAGGCGAGGAAUCCUGGAAUGGUUCUUCACCCAAAGGACAUUGGAAACAUGCUUUCUUUGUCGCCUGGGGAUGGGGCCGCGACCGAUCAGGUUGUUGGUGAGGUAAUGGCUCACCAAGCCUUUAACCGGUACGGGCCGUGAGAGCGGUAGCCCGGAGAUGGGUACUGAGACAAGGACCCAGGCCCUACGGGGCGCAGCAGUCGCGAAAACUCCGCAAUGCACGAAAGUGUGACGGGGCUACCCCGAGUGCCAUCCGCUGAGGAUGGCUUUUCCUUGGUAUAACUAGCCGAGGGAAUAAGGAGAGGGCAAGACUGGUGUCAGCCGCCGCGGUAAUACCAGCUCUCCGAGUGGUAGGGAUGAUUAUUGGGCUUAAAGCGUCCGUAGCCGGCUUAGCAAGUCUCCUGUUAAAUUCAGCGACCUAAUCGUUGAUCCGCGGGAGAUACUACUAGGCUAGGAGGCGGGAGAGGUCGACGGUACUUCUGGGGUAGGGGUGAAAUCCUAUAAUCCCAGGAGGACCACCAGUGGCGAAGGCUGUCGACUAGAACGCGCUCGACGGUGAGGGACGAAAGCUGGGGGAGCGAACCGGAUUAGAUACCCGGGUAGUCCCAGCCGUAAACGAUGCGGGCUAGGUGUUGGGGUGGCUACGUGCCACUUCAGUGCCGCAGGGAAGCCAUUAAGCCCGCCGCC